This 514-nucleotide ribosomal RNA is filed under the name Psammophis lineolatus. Its description in RNAcentral is "partial 16S ribosomal RNA". It matches the Rfam family "Bacterial large subunit ribosomal RNA", at positions 1816 to 2597 of the family's 2925-position model. Lineage: Eukaryota; Metazoa; Chordata; Lepidosauria; Squamata. The record is from RNAcentral.
AACCUUUAGCAUAACCAAGUAUUAAAGGCAACGCCUGCCCAGUGAACAAUUAAACGGCCGCGGUACCCUAACCGUGCAAAGGUAGCGUAAUCAUUUGUCUAUUAAUUGUAGACCUGUAUGAAAGGCAAAAUGAGGGUCUAACUGUCUCUUAUAAUUAGUCAAUUAAACUGAUCUCCCAGUACAAAAGCUGGGAUAAUAACAUAAGACCAGAAGACCCUGUGAAGCUUAAACUAAACUAUCAAACCACAUGAUAGCUAGUUUCGGUUGGGGCGACCUUGGAAACAAGCAGAACUUCCAAAUAAGUAGCACUAAUAAACGCUAAAACUACAAGGCCAACAAGCCAACUAACGACCCAGCACCGCUGAUUAACGAAACAAGUUACUCCAGGGAUAACAGCGCCAUCUUCUUCAAGAGCCCAUAUCAAAAAGAAGGUUUACGACCUCGAUGUUGGAUCAGGACAUCCUAAUGGUGCAGCCGCUAUUAAGGGUUCGUUUGUUCAACGAUUAACAGUCCC